Molecule: long non-coding RNA, 278 nt
Organism: Suricata suricatta (meerkat)
Lineage: Eukaryota; Metazoa; Chordata; Mammalia; Carnivora; Herpestidae
Exons: 3
Source: RefSeq, a predicted model, not a curated record
CAGAAAUCUGUCUUCUGAUUCCUCCACCUUGGAUCACCCCUCAAACUUCCUCUGAAGGCUGAAGGGCAGAAGCUUUCAUCAGCUUUACUUUCUUAUUCAUCUGGACGAUAUCGACUAUCUGCGAGGCAGCGUGCCAAAUACUAGGGGGAUAAGGGAAAUAAAUAAAGGACCAGCUACUCUCCGCACAACUGCUGAGACAGAUGGACAAGACAACAGGAUUUUGUUCCACUUAUAUUUCUUCUUGGCAUCAUGCUUCUGCACCUUGGAGCCCGGGGACC